AAGUCGUAACAAGGUUUCCGUAGGUGAACCUGCGGAAGGAUCAUUAAUGAUUUUUAAAGCGAGUCGAGCGUUAAGCGAGGCUUGCGAAAAUAUUUAAAACCCCACUCUUUUUAACUUUAAAAAAAUAAAUCAUGAUACAUGAAUUUAAAAAAAAGAUCACUUUCAACAACGGAUCUCUUGGCUCUC
Molecule: unclassified non-coding RNA, 186 nt
Filed under: Funneliformis sp.
Lineage: Eukaryota; Fungi; Glomeromycota; Glomeromycetes; Glomerales; Glomeraceae
Description: partial internal transcribed spacer region
Rfam family: Eukaryotic small subunit ribosomal RNA (bases 1-46)
Source: RNAcentral